AUUGAACGCUGGCGACAGGCCUAACACAUGCAAGUCGAGCGCGAAAGUCUUCGGAUGAGUAAAGCGGCGAACGGGUGAGUAAUGCAUGGGAAUCUGCCUGGUAGUGGGGGACAACGUCUCGAAAGGGACGCUAAUACCGCAUACGCCUACGGGGGAAAGGGGGGAGUCUUCGGACCUCUCGCUAUCAGAUGAGCCCAUGUCAGAUUAGCUAGUUGGUGAGGUAAAGGCUCACCAAGGCGACGAUCUGUAACUGGUCUGAGAGGAUGAUCAGUCACACUGGAACUGAGACACGGUCCAGACUCCUACGGGAGGCAGCAGUGGGGAAUAUUGGACAAUGGGGGCAACCCUGAUCCAGCCAUGCCGCGUGUGUGAAGAAGGCCCUAGGGUUGUAAAGCACUUUCAGUGGGGAGAAAGGUUAUUCACCUAAUACGUGAGUAGAUUGAUGUUACCCACAGAGAAGCACGGCUAAUCCUGCAGCAGCCG
Molecule: ribosomal RNA, 483 nt
Filed under: uncultured bacterium
Lineage: Bacteria
Description: bacterial SSU rRNA
Rfam family: Bacterial small subunit ribosomal RNA
Source: RNAcentral